RNAcentral lists this ribosomal RNA (547 nucleotides) under uncultured bacterium. RNAcentral's name for it is "bacterial SSU rRNA". It matches the Rfam family "Bacterial small subunit ribosomal RNA", at positions 777 to 1320 of the family's 1533-position model. The record is from RNAcentral.
AAUAGAUACCCCGGUAGUCCACGCCGUAAACGAUGAGUGCUAAGUGUUGGGGGGUUUCCGCCCCUCAGUGCUGCAGCUAACGCAUUAAGCACUCCGCCUGGGGAGUACGGGUCGCAAGACUGAAACUCAAAGGAAUUGACGGGGGCCCGCACAAGCGGUGGAGCAUGUGGUUUAAUUCGAAGCAACGCGAAGAACCUUACCAGGUCUUGACAUCCCGGUGACCACUAUGGAGACAUAGUUUCCCCUUCGGGGGGCAACGGUGACAGGUGGUGCAUGGUUGUCGUCAGCUCGUGUCGUGAGAUGUUGGGUUAAGUCCCGCAACGAGCGCAACCCUUAUUCUUAGUUGCCAUCAUUCAGUUGGGCACUCUAAGGAGACUGCCGGUGAUAAACCGGAGGAAGGUGGGGAUGACGUCGAAAUCAUCAUGCCCCUUAUGACCUGGGCUACACACGUGCUACAAUGGACGGUACAAACGGUUGCCAACCCGCGAGGGGAGCUAAUCCGAUAAAACCGUUCUCAGUUCGGAUUGUAGGCUGCAACUCGCCUACA